RNAcentral lists this ribosomal RNA (301 nucleotides) under uncultured bacterium. Its description in RNAcentral is "partial 16S ribosomal RNA". It matches the Rfam family "Bacterial small subunit ribosomal RNA", at positions 509 to 807 of the family's 1533-position model. The record is from RNAcentral.
CAGCAGCCGCGGGAAUACGAAGGGGGCUAGCGUUGCUCGGAAUGACUGGGCGUAAAGGGCGCGUAGGCGGUUUUGACAGUCAGAUGUGAAAUUCCUGGGCUUAACCUGGGGGCUGCAUUUGAGACGUCAAGACUAGAGUGUGAGAGAGGGUUGCGGAAUUCCCAGUGUAGAGGUGAAAUUCGUAGAUAUUGGGAAGAACACCGGUGGCGAAGGCGGCUCACUGGCCCGGAACUGACGCUGAGACGCGAAAGCGUGGGGAGCAAACAGGAUUAGAUACCCCCGUAGUCCCUGUCUCUUAUAC